RNAcentral lists this long non-coding RNA (732 nucleotides) under Homo sapiens (human). Its description in RNAcentral is "HSALNT0036059". Lineage: Eukaryota; Metazoa; Chordata; Mammalia; Primates; Hominidae. The record is from RNAcentral.
AGGCUACAAGUGGCAAGGAAGAUUCUAUUUCAAAUAUAGCCACAGAAAUAAAGGAUGGACAAAAAUCUGGGACAGUGUCUUCUCAGAAACAACCGGCCUUGAAGGAUACAAGUGACAAGGAUGAUUCUGUUUCGAACACAGCCACAGAAAUAAAAGAUGAACAAAAAUCUGGGACAGUGCUUCCUGCUGUUGAACAGUGUUUAAACAGGAGUCUCUACAGACCUGAUGCUGUUGCACAGCCUGUGACAGAGAAUGAGUUUUCUUUGGAAUCUGAGAUUAUUUCAAAACUAUACAUCCCAAAGAGAAAGAUUAUUUCUCCACGAUCUAUAAAAGAUGUGCUUCCUCCUGUUGAAGAGGCUGUUGACAGGUGUCUCUACCUACUGGACCGUUUUGCACAGCCUGUGACAAAGGAUAAGUUUGCUUUGGAAUCUGAGAAUAUUUCAGAACCAUACUUUACGAACAGAAGGACUAUUUCUCAACAAUCUGCAGAAAAUUUAGAUGCUGCAUGUGGCAUUGACAAAACAGAAAAUGGAAACAUGUUUGAAGACCAAAAUGUUGAUAAGGAAGGAAAAGCACUACCAGCAACUGGACAAAAAGCAAAUGUGUCUCCUGAGCAACCGCCUUUAUUCACGAAUCUUCUGAGCGACCUCCUUUAUCCACGCUUACUCUGAAAGAGGCAGAUCCCAGUUCAAAAGCAGCCAUGAGAAGGAAGGAUUCACCACCUCCAGGAAA